GCUUUGUUGGCUAAGUGGUAUAGCGUCUCACUAGUAACGCUGGUGACAUGAGAAGAUCGGCGGUUCGAUUCCGCCACGAGGCA
Molecule: transfer RNA, 83 nt
Filed under: Colletotrichum caudatum
Lineage: Eukaryota; Fungi; Ascomycota; Sordariomycetes; Glomerellales; Glomerellaceae
Description: tRNA-Thr
Rfam family: tRNA
About the family: Transfer RNA (tRNA) molecules are approximately 80 nucleotides in length. Their secondary structure includes four short double-helical elements and three loops (D, anti-codon, and T loops).
Source: RNAcentral